CCUCAAAUCAGGUAGGACUACCCGCUGAACUUAAGCAUAUCAAUAAGCGGAGGAAAAGAAACUAACAAGGAUUCCCCUAGUAACUGCGAGUGAAGAGGGAAGAGCUCAAAUUUAAAAUCUGUCAGUCUUUGGCUGGCCGAGUUGUAAAUUAGAGAAGUGCCUAUCUGCGCUGGCCUGUGCAAAAGUCUCUUGGAAAAGGGCAUCAUAGAGGGUGACAAUCCCGUCUUUGGUACAGAGCUCCAGGGCUUCAUGAUGCGCUCUCGAUGAGUCGAGUUGUUUGGGAAUGCAGCUCUAAAUGGGUGGUAAAUUCCAUCUAAAGCUAAAUGUUGGCGAGAAACCGAUAGCGCACAAGUACCGUGAGGGAAAGAUGAAAAGAACUUUGAAAAGAGAGUUAAACAGUACGUGAAAUUGUUGAAAGGGAAACGCUUGAAGUCAGUCGUGUCCUUCAGAAAUCAACCUGACCUUGGUCUGGCUUACUUUCUGGUGGAUGGGUCAGCAUCAAUUUUGAUCAUUGGAUAAAGGCUUUGGGAAAGUGACAUCUCCGGAUGUGUCAUAGCCCUUGGUUCAUAUACAGUGGUUGGGAUUGAGGAACUCAGUGUGAACUUGGGGCUUUGGCCCUACACGACGC
Molecule: ribosomal RNA, 628 nt
Filed under: uncultured Basidiomycota
Lineage: Eukaryota; Fungi; Basidiomycota
Description: LSU rRNA
Rfam family: Eukaryotic large subunit ribosomal RNA
Source: RNAcentral